GCGGAGGAAAAGAAACCAACAGGGAUUGCCCUAGUAACGGCGAGUGAAGCGGCAAGAGCUCAAAUUUGAAAUCUGGCUCUUUCAGAGUCCGAGUUGUAAUUUGUAGAGGGUGCUUUGGCGUUGGCUGUGGUCUAAGUUCCUUGGAACAGGACGUCGCAGAGGGUGAGAAUCCCGUAUGUGGCCGCCAGUCUUCGCCGUGUAAAGCCCCUUCGACGAGUCGAGUUGUUUGGGAAUGCAGCUCUAAAUGGGAGGUAAAUUUCUUCUAAAGCUAAAUAUUGGCCAGAGACCGAUAGCGCACAAGUAGAGUGAUCGAAAGAUGAAAAGCACUUUGGAAAGAGAGUCAAAAAGCACGUGAAAUUGUUGAAAGGGAAGCGCUUGCAGCCAGACUUGCCCGCAGUUGCUCAUCCAGGCUCGCGCCUGGUGCACUCUUCUGCGGGCAGGCCAGCAUCAGUCCGGGCGGUUGGAUAAAGGCCUGCUACAUGUACCUCUCCUCGGGGAGGACUUAUAGGGCAGGCGACAUGCAACCAGCCCGGAUUGAGGUCCGCGCUUCGGCUAGGAUGCUGGCGUAAUGGCUGUAAGCGGCCCGUCUUGAAACACGGACCAAGGAGUCUAACAUCUAUGCGAGUGUUUGGGUGUCAAGCCCGAGCGCGCAAUGAAAGUGAACGGAGGUGGGAACCCCUCGGGGCGCACCAUCGACCGAUCCUGAUGUCUUCGGAUGGAUUUGAGUAUGAGCAUAGCUGUUGGGACCCGAAAGAUGGUGAAUAUGCCUGAAUAGGGUGAACCAGAGGAAACUCUGGGGAGGCUCGCAGCGGUUCUGACGUGCAAAUCGAUCGUCAAUUUGGGCAUAGGGCGAAGAUAAUCGACUAUCUAGUACUGGUCUG
Molecule: small RNA, 881 nt
Filed under: Preussia sp. 1 NV-2015
Lineage: Eukaryota; Fungi; Ascomycota; Dothideomycetes; Pleosporales; Sporormiaceae
Description: eukaryotic LSU rRNA
Rfam family: Eukaryotic large subunit ribosomal RNA
Source: RNAcentral